AGGAUAAUAGUUAAUUUAUAACAUUUAAUUUGCAUUUAAAAAAUAUUGAAAAGCCAAUUUAUCUU
This 65-nucleotide transfer RNA is filed under the name Apteropeda ovulum. RNAcentral describes it as "tRNA-Ala". Lineage: Eukaryota; Metazoa; Arthropoda; Insecta; Coleoptera; Chrysomelidae. The record is from RNAcentral.